Molecule: long non-coding RNA, 507 nt
Organism: Zophobas morio
Lineage: Eukaryota; Metazoa; Arthropoda; Insecta; Coleoptera; Tenebrionidae
Exons: 3
Source: RefSeq, a predicted model, not a curated record
UUCGUUCCACUAGAUCUUCAAUCUUUGGUGGUUCGCCACCACAAGAUUCUGUUUCUGGUUUUUUGACCGGUUCUGGACCGUCGUGUGGAAACUGGGAUUGGAUAACAUCUAUGGUAGGAUAUGGUACCACGCACUCGAAAGAUUCCAAGGUGUCAACAAGAGCAUCUACCGCAUGCCCCAAACACGAAUAAACUAUAAGACUGUCUGACUUGGAUCAAAGAGGAGGCGCAGUGUAAAGGGUACUACACGUACCAGGGGUCGUUAACCACGGAGCCGUACACCGAGAGCGUCACGUGGAUUCUUUACACCACGCCGAUACACGUGUCCAGGCAGCAGGUUUCAGAAUUCCGGAAGAUGAAAUCAACGGCUUGCGAGCAACACAACAUCGUUAAAAACGUACGACCAAUCCAGACACCCCCAGUCCAUAAAAAACUCGAUAUCAUCUACGCCAGAUCGCACCGAAAAUCCAGCGAAUAAAAUUUCGCUAUUUAUCUAUAUUUACAAUAA